Long non-coding RNA from Astyanax mexicanus (Mexican tetra), 232 nucleotides. RefSeq lists it as uncharacterized. The transcript has 3 exons. Lineage: Eukaryota; Metazoa; Chordata; Actinopteri; Characiformes; Acestrorhamphidae. The record is from RefSeq and is a predicted model, not a curated record.
GAGGGGGUGGUACAACUGCCAGAUGGAGUAGAGCAAGUGGUCCCCACAGAGGAGGUGGUACAGCUGCCGGGUGGAGCAGAGCAGGUGGUCACAGCAGAGGAGGUGGUACAGCUGCCGGGUGGAGCAGAGCAGGUGGUCACAGCAGAGGAGGUGGUACAGCUGCCGGGUGGAGCAGAGCAGGUGGUCACAGCAGAGGAGGUGGUACAGCUGCCGGGUGGAGCAGAGCAGGUGG